GAUGAAGAACGCAGCGAAAUGCGAUACGUAGUGUGAAUUGCAGAAUUCAGUGAAUCAUCGAAUCUUUGAACGCACAUUGCACCUCUCGGUAUUCCGGGAGGUAUGCCUAUUCGAGCGUCAUUUGUACCCUCAAGCUCUGCUUGGUGUUGGGUGUUUGUUCCGCCUCUGUGUGUGAACUCGCCUCAAAACAAUUGGCAGCCGGCGUACUUGUUUCGGAGCGCAGCACAUUUUGCGAUCCAGAUCAACGUACAGCGGCAUCCAAGAAGCCUUAUUUAACGCUCUUGACCUCGGAUCAGGUAGGGAUACCCGCUGAACUUAAGCAUAUCAAUAAGCGGAGGA
This 339-nucleotide unclassified non-coding RNA is filed under the name soil metagenome. RNAcentral's name for it is "partial contains 5.8S ribosomal RNA, internal transcribed spacer 2, and large subunit ribosomal RNA". The stretch from base 1 to 120 matches the Rfam family "5.8S ribosomal RNA", at positions 35 to 154 of the family's 154-position model. The record is from RNAcentral.